RNAcentral lists this ribosomal RNA (399 nucleotides) under Miogryllus verticalis. RNAcentral's name for it is "partial 12S ribosomal RNA". The record is from RNAcentral. Lineage: Eukaryota; Metazoa; Arthropoda; Insecta; Orthoptera; Gryllidae.
UAUUAUUCAAUGCGUAAAUUAUAAAUAUUUGAGUAAUAAUAGCUAUGGUCUUGAAACUCAAAGAAUUUGGCGGUGUUUUAGUCCUUUCAGAGGAAUCUGUCCUAUAAUUGAUAAUACACGAUUAUUAUUACUUAAUUUAGUUAUACAGUUUAUAUACCGCCGUCGGAAGAAGAUCUUAUGAAGAGAAUUAAUUUUCAUUAAUUUUUGAUUGAAAAGUAUGUCAGGUCAAGGUGUAGCUAAUAAUUAAGUAGAGAUGGAUUACAAUAAACUUAUUUAUAUAGAUAUAAUUUUAAAAUAAAUUAUUGAAAGUGGAUUUGAUUGUAAGUUAAUAAAUAUUUAUUUUUUGAUUUGGGCUCUAGAAUGUGUACAUAUCGCCCGUCGCUCUCGUUUUAAGAUGAG